This 94-nucleotide transfer RNA is filed under the name Aedes aegypti (yellow fever mosquito). It matches the Rfam family "tRNA". From Rfam's summary of the family: Transfer RNA (tRNA) molecules are approximately 80 nucleotides in length. Their secondary structure includes four short double-helical elements and three loops (D, anti-codon, and T loops). Further hydrogen bonds mediate the characteristic L-shaped molecular structure. tRNAs have two regions of fundamental functional importance: the anti-codon, which is responsible for specific mRNA codon recognition, and the 3' end, to which the tRNAs corresponding amino acid is attached (by aminoacyl-tRNA synthetases). tRNAs cope with the degeneracy of the genetic code in two manners: having more than one tRNA (with a specific anti-codon) for a particular amino acid; and 'wobble' base-pairing, i.e. permitting non-standard base-pairing at the 3rd anti-codon position. Lineage: Eukaryota; Metazoa; Arthropoda; Insecta; Diptera; Culicidae. The record is from Rfam by way of RNAcentral.
CCUUCGAUAGCUCAGUUGGUAGAGCGGUGGACUGUAGAAGUUUGCUAUGACGGCAGUUAUCCAUAGGUCACUGGUUCAAAUCCGGUUCGAAGGA